CGUACACUCCUACGGGAGGCAGCAGUGGGGAAUAUUGGACAAUGGGCGCAAGCCUGAUCCAGCCAUGCCGCGUGAGUGAUGAAGGCCCUAGGGUUGUAAAGCUCUUUCACCGGUGAAGAUAAUGACGGUAACCGGAGAAGAAGCCCCGACUAACUUCGUGCCAGCAGCCGCGGUAAUACGAAGGGGGCUAGCGUUGUUCGGAUUUACUGGGCGUAAAGCGCACGUAGGCGGACUAUUAAGUCAGGGGUGAAAUCCCGGGGCUCAACCCCGGAACUGCCUUUGAUACUGGUAGUCUUGAGUUCGAGAGAGGUGAGUGGAAUUCCGAGUGUAGAGGUGAAAUUCGUAGAUAUUCGGAGGAACACCAGUGGCGAAGGCGGCUCACUGGCUCGAUACUGACGCUGAGGUGCGAAAGCGUGGGGAGCAAACAGGAUUAGAUACCCCGGUAGUCC
This 449-nucleotide ribosomal RNA is filed under the name uncultured organism. Its description in RNAcentral is "partial 16S ribosomal RNA". It matches the Rfam family "Bacterial small subunit ribosomal RNA", at positions 330 to 796 of the family's 1533-position model. The record is from RNAcentral.